This 87-nucleotide transfer RNA is filed under the name Candidatus Criblamydia sequanensis CRIB-18. Its description in RNAcentral is "Criblamydia sequanensis CRIB-18 tRNA". It matches the Rfam family "tRNA". From Rfam's summary of the family: Transfer RNA (tRNA) molecules are approximately 80 nucleotides in length. Their secondary structure includes four short double-helical elements and three loops (D, anti-codon, and T loops). Further hydrogen bonds mediate the characteristic L-shaped molecular structure. tRNAs have two regions of fundamental functional importance: the anti-codon, which is responsible for specific mRNA codon recognition, and the 3' end, to which the tRNAs corresponding amino acid is attached (by aminoacyl-tRNA synthetases). tRNAs cope with the degeneracy of the genetic code in two manners: having more than one tRNA (with a specific anti-codon) for a particular amino acid; and 'wobble' base-pairing, i.e. permitting non-standard base-pairing at the 3rd anti-codon position. Lineage: Bacteria; Pseudomonadati; Chlamydiota; Chlamydiia; Parachlamydiales; Candidatus Criblamydiaceae. The record is from Rfam by way of RNAcentral.
GGAAGAGUGGCAGAGUGGCCGAAUGCGUCUGUCUCGAAAACAGAUUCACGGGCAACCGUGACGGGAGUUCGAAUCUCCCCUCUUCCG